AGCAAUACUUAGUGGCAGACGGGUGAGUAACAUGUAGGUGUCUGCCCUUUGGCCUGGNAUAACACGAGGAAACUUGUGCUAAUACCGGAUAAGUCUUUACGGAGAAAGCUUUAUGCACCAUUGGAUGAGCCUGCACUUGAUUAGUUUGUUGGUAGGGUAAUGGCCUACCAAGACUGUGAUCAAUAGCUGAUUUGAGAGGAUGAUCAGCCACAUUGGGACUGAGACACGGCCCAAACUCCUCCGGGAGGCAGCAGUGGGGAAUCUUGCACAAUGGAGGAAACUCUGAUGCAGCGAUGCCGCGUGAGUGAAGAAGGCCCUUGGGUUGUAAAGCUCUUUCGUCGGGGAAGAAAAUGACUGUACCCGAAUAA
RNAcentral lists this ribosomal RNA (368 nucleotides) under uncultured bacterium. Its description in RNAcentral is "bacterial SSU rRNA". It matches the Rfam family "Bacterial small subunit ribosomal RNA", at positions 84 to 486 of the family's 1533-position model. The record is from RNAcentral.